ACCCUAUUUAAUUACUUAAACAUCUAUGGAAACGACUUGAAUAUUUUCGCCAUGAUUGUUGGGUAUAGUGUUUGGAUUCUGGGCCCUGCUAAUUAUCCUCUUUGCCAAUAUAUUAUACAAAAAGGCACUCAAAUACCCAAGCAGCAAGCCCAGAACAAUAGUGCCGAACGCCAUAGCCGCGAUAUAUCCACCAAUAGGAGACUCUUCUUUUGUCAUCACUGUUUUCAGUAAAAAAAAAAAUAGUUAGAAACAAAAACUAGAAAAUGGAAAAGUAUAAAAUGAAUCGAUGAUACUCCAACGAUUCAGGUCAACACCACUGUAUCAAUCCAAGUAGGUUUUUUUUUAACUAUAAUGUUAUUUCGUUUUUCUUGUUAGUGUGAACAGUAAACAAAUCAAGCAUAUCAUGGCAUGGCAGGUAUUAGUGCAGCAAACAAUAUUAAUUAAUAACAAAACAAAAUAAAUCAAAGAAAGUAAAGUAAAAUGAAGAACUUAGGAUGGAUUGAAACAAAAAAAGUAUAUUGAAAGAAUGAGUGUACCGAGAUGCUUUUUUAUUAUCCUUUCUCUGCCGAAUCUCC
RNAcentral lists this long non-coding RNA (575 nucleotides) under Trifolium pratense (red clover). RNAcentral describes it as "long non-coding RNA (TPRA_LNC002549)". The record is from RNAcentral. Lineage: Eukaryota; Viridiplantae; Streptophyta; Magnoliopsida; Fabales; Fabaceae.